RNAcentral lists this ribosomal RNA (433 nucleotides) under uncultured bacterium. RNAcentral's name for it is "partial 16S ribosomal RNA". It matches the Rfam family "Bacterial small subunit ribosomal RNA", at positions 29 to 507 of the family's 1533-position model. The record is from RNAcentral.
AACGAACGCUGGCGGCAUGCCUAACACAUGCAAGUCGAACGAGACCUUCGGGUCUAGUGGCGCACGGGUGCGUAACGCGUGGGAACCUGCCCUUAGGUUCGGAAUAACUCCCCGAAAGGGGUGCUAAUACCGGAUAAUGUCUUCGGACCAAAGAUUUAUCGCCUUUGGAUGGGCCCGCGUUGGAUUAGCUAGUUGGUAGGGUAAAAGCCUACCAAGGCGACGAUCCAUAGCUGGUCUGAGAGGAUGAUCAGCCACACUGGGACUGAGACACGGCCCAGACUCCUACGGGAGGCAGGAGUGGGGAAUAUUGGAAAAUGGGCGAAAGCCUGAUCCAGCAAUGACGCGUGAGUGAUGAAGGCCUUAGGGUUGUAAAGCUCUUUUACCCGGGAUGAUAAUGACAGUACCGGGAGAAUAAGCUCCGGCUAACUCCGUG